CGCCUUCUGSAUGCUCCASAUGGUUAUAACAAGUGUGUAUCUAGAGUAUCACGCCUUGCCCAAAAAUAAAGACUCGGUSCGACAUUGCCAUGCACAUAGGAAUUGGCGGGGGAGCCACAGGAAUUCCUGGUGUAGCGGUGAAAUGCGUAGAGAUCAGGAAGAACACCGGUGGCGAAGGCGCUCUGCUGGGCUAUAACUGACACUGAGGGACGAAAGCUAGGGGAGCGAAUGGGAUUAGAUACCCCAGUAGUCCUAGCGGUAAACGAUGGAAACUAGGUGUGGCCUGUAUCGACCCGGGCCGUGCCGAAGCAAACGCGUUAAGUUUCCCGCCUGGGGAGUACGCACGCAAGUGUGAAACUCAAAGGAAUUGGCGGGGGAGCACAACACA
RNAcentral lists this ribosomal RNA (388 nucleotides) under uncultured bacterium. Its description in RNAcentral is "bacterial SSU rRNA". It matches the Rfam family "Bacterial small subunit ribosomal RNA", at positions 539 to 930 of the family's 1533-position model. The record is from RNAcentral.